CCCUGUCUUAAAAGAAUAGCCAUUUGGGCUGGAGAGAUGGCUCAGAGGGGAAGAGCACUGGCUGCUCUUCCAGAGGUCCCGAGUUCAAUUCCCAGCAACCACAUGGUAG
This 109-nucleotide microRNA precursor is filed under the name Microtus ochrogaster (prairie vole). Its description in RNAcentral is "miRNA (ENSMOCG00000008638.1)". The record is from RNAcentral. Lineage: Eukaryota; Metazoa; Chordata; Mammalia; Rodentia; Cricetidae.